RNAcentral lists this ribosomal RNA (482 nucleotides) under uncultured bacterium. Its description in RNAcentral is "partial 16S ribosomal RNA". It matches the Rfam family "Bacterial small subunit ribosomal RNA", at positions 30 to 505 of the family's 1533-position model. The record is from RNAcentral.
AUUGAACGCUGGCGGCAGGCCUAACACAUGCAAGUCGAGCGGAUGAAGGGAGCUUGCUCCUGGAUUCAGCGGCGGACGGGUGAGUAAUGCCUAGGAAUCUGCCUGGUAGUGGGGGAUAACGUCCGGAAACGGGCGCUAAUACCGCAUACGUCCUGAGGGAGAAAGUGGGGGAUCUUCGGACCUCACGCUAUCAGAUGAGCCUAGGUCGGAUUAGCUAGUUGGUGGGGUAAAGGCCUACCAAGGCGACGAUCCGUAACUGGUCUGAGAGGAUGAUCAGUCAAACUGGAACUGGGACCCGGUCCAGGCUCCUACGGGAGGCAGGAGGGGGGAAUUUUGGACCAUGGGCGAAGGCCUUAUCCAGCCAUGGCGGGUGUGGGAAGAAGGUUUUCGGAUUGUAAAACCCUUUAAGUUGGGGGGAAGGGGAGUAAGUUAAUACCUUGCUUUUUUGGCGGUACCAAAAAAAAAAGCCCCGGCUAACUUCG